UACGAAGGAUGCAAGCGUUAUCCGGAUUUAUUGGGCGUAAAGGGUGCGUAGGCGGUUUGGUAAGUCUGAUGUGAAAUCUAUGGGCUCAACUCAUAGUCUGCAUCGGAAACUGCCGGGCUUGAGUGUGGGAGAGGUGAGUGGAAUUCCUGGUGUAGCGGUGAAAUGCGUAGAUAUCAGGAGGAACACCUGUGGCGAAAGCGGCUCACUGGACCAUAACUGACGCUGAUGCACGAAAGCUAGGGGAGCAAACAGG
RNAcentral lists this ribosomal RNA (253 nucleotides) under uncultured bacterium. RNAcentral describes it as "partial 16S ribosomal RNA". It matches the Rfam family "Bacterial small subunit ribosomal RNA", at positions 524 to 776 of the family's 1533-position model. The record is from RNAcentral.